GGUUCCUAGUGCAUCCAGCAGUCUAUGGUGGAAUGCAUGAAGCAGACACGUAAAUUGCUCCUUCUGGUCCGGUGCUCUGUGAGGGAGUCAAAGUGCAGUCAGUGGGAUUCCCAUCUGUCACCCUCACAGAGAGUCAGUACUGCGAGCGACUGCGUUCCACCAGAAACCACUAGGGAAUCUGCAGCUUGCAUUUUUCCCAGGACGAGCAGCAGUAUCAACAGUUACUUCGGCCCAUCCCACCUGGUAGUGCACACUAUCAGAUGUCCCUGUUGCCAUGUCACCCUGUGCGACCACACAGCUCGCACACCCCAAAGGCAAGUCCUGGUUAAAGUGAAGUGAAUAGGGAUGUGUCAGUUUUAGGUUUCAAUUCCCUCCUUAUUCUUUACUACUGAUGUUAUUCACUACAGACCAGAUUUUGUUUGGGUGAACAAACUCUGG
Pelobates cultripes (western spadefoot toad) is the source of this 438-nucleotide non-coding RNA. Lineage: Eukaryota; Metazoa; Chordata; Amphibia; Anura; Pelobatidae. The record is from the annotation of a GenBank genome assembly.